UCUAGGGCAAAACAUCAGAGCGACUACUAAGAAUUUACAAAGGAGUGAAUCCGUUUACAAACAAAAUCCUACAUCAGAAGAAAGGCGCGAAAGAUGGGAAGUGGCCCGGUGGUGGAUUCCUGUGCACGUCUACUGCCUGGGGGCGUAAAACAACAAUAAGGGUGAGUGGACCCAAAAACAAAGUUGAGAAAAUAGUAUAAGAACAUACUAACCCCACUGUAAAAACAGUUAUACAAACUAGCUUAUUUUCUUUAUUUCUGAAAUCAAUGCAUAUAUAUAAUUAUAUACAUUUGAAAACAGUUUAAACUAUCACCUAGGUGUACCCUUAUUUCUGUCAAUUCCUUAUAUCCGUCAAUUCCUUGCAUCACCAUGGGUGACACAUACUAGCAGGUCUCAGUGACACGAAGUUAGUCUGACCGCAACUCGCAGGAUUCAGGGGACCGUAGUCCACCUUUAUCCGCAGUACUCGCUCCACACAAGUUCGCAGCAUGCAACAUAAAAUAUUUAACAGAAUAAAACAACUUAUAACUGAAACUGAACUGCUUAAAUUCAUUUACUAAAACAAAGAGUCCACUCACUGAUAGUCCGAGCUCGCUGGACCUCUUGAAGGUCCCUCCUGCGAGUCAACUGGUGCCCGGGUGCCUCACUCGUCUGAUUUGGUGGCCGAAUGACGGAGUUUGAACGGUAAGAAGUUCUGUCAAAUCCGGCUACUUCCCUUCGAUUUUUCCGACGAUUUCACGGCGGCUGACUUCAGAGAGUGGUCGGGGCUUGAAGACAGAACCGAGCUGGUCCUGUUGGCACCAACGGCAGGGGCAGAGGUGGUCGGUGGAGGAAGUUUUGGACGUUUGGAGGGCGACGGCUGGAGGAAAAAAAACAGAGAGGGAGGAGAGCUCGCGGGGAGAGAGAGAGAGAGAGAGAGAGAGAGAGAGAGAGAGAGAGAGAGAGAAAUGAGGUUUUAUAAAAAUCUGAUUUUUCUAAUUACCAUUUUGCCCCUCGUGAUAUUUAAUCGCAUUUUCUUCAUUAAAACUCCGAUUCGAGCUCACUUCGUGUCUAUGAACUCAUUUCGUCGUGCUCUACGCAACGGUGUAUGUGGAAUUGUCAAAUUCCUUUUCGGUCAAAAAGUCAACUUUUCGUUCAUAAUUUAUUCCAAGGGAAAAAUUGUCUUUCCGCAUAAUAAAUUACUAAUUAAAUAUGAAUUUUAGGUUUAGGUCAUUACACUAAGUGUUCUUUCCUUUGUCUUGAGGCCUCCUAUUUAUAGGCCCCUGUAUGAUUCUUGACCAAAAUGACUUUCCUACUUUAGGUCUUUCUUUGUGGGAUUUUGAUUUGAUUUGAAAUCAAUUCCGAUAAUUUGGGAAUUUAAUUUAAUUAUCUUCAAUUGAUUGACUUGAUUAAUAUUUGAUUUAAAUCAAAGUCAAUCAUAGAAGAUCCUUCCCUUUAAUUUUAUCUUCAAUUUGAAUCGAUUGAUACACUCCGUUGGAUGUCGAUACGUGUCACCUAUGACAACUAAUCUAAUUUUGAUGAGUCGUAUGCCACGUGGGUGAAUCAUGAGGCCUGUAAUUUAAUCCACCAAACCUUAAUUAUUUUCUUAUUUAGUGAAAUUUAAUUCGCCAAUUUUUUUUUGUCUACGUUGGUCUUGGUGGAAUAUUAACGCCCAAUUGAUACUCAUAUGACGAUGAACAUAUUUAGGAUUAUGGGAUCAUGAUAAGUCUCGAUGUAUGCAAUCUCAUUACGUAAUUCUUAUGUCCACUUAUAUUCCUAGGACUGCAGUUGUUUUACUACUAUAAUAAUAUACCAGAUAUCAUGGUUGAAAACAACUAGUCUUGCCCAUGAAUAACUUAAUGAGUCAUUACAUAAGAUGUCUUUAACAUUAAUUAUCGUAUAAUUAGUUGGCUUUAAGGGCAUACUACUAACACUCUCUUCCUUACUUCUUCCUUCCUCCCUUCUCUUCUCUUCCCCUACUUUCAGAGACAGAAGGUUUCUCCUAUUUGUCUUUGUUAUGUUAUGAUUUUCCUUCCACUCAUCACAUGCGGAUGCAUCCUCAUGUCGGAUCAAUACCACCAUCUUUUUUGCGGUUUCUUCAUGUUUGAAAUAAGUAGCAGAGACUAUUUGAGUUUUCACCUCUCCUUUUGUGAGAGUUUUUCACCUCUCAUUUUGUGAGAGUUUUUCAUCUCUCCUUUGUGAGAGUUAUUUUAUUUGUAUUGUUCUGUCUUGGUUUUCUCAAGCUUUAUCUCUUUUUGGUUGUUCUAAGUUUGCACUCUUAGUUAGAAUGCCUAUGCCAGAGUUUCUUCAAUCCUGUGUGGUUGUUAGUGGAGGAGCCCCAAAUUGUCUUAAUUUUGAUGUUAGAUCACUUUGUUAUUGUAGUGGCCAUUUGUGGCUAGAUUGUAUUGCCCCUUUGGAGCUGGUGGCUUUUUUGACUGAAGUAUGAAUGCAAUCCCAUAAUUUCUAUAAAAAAAAAAAUUUGGAAAAAAAUAUAUAUAUUCAAAGAAUGCUGUUAUUCCCACCAAUCUGUCCUAUUUCUCCACUCCCCCUAAUCUUCAAAAUUUUAAACACAAUUUUACCACUUUGUAAAAUGACUUUUAAAGACUCAAGUAUAGACGUUACUAUCCCAAUCCAAUCAUAUGAUGCUAGCUAUAUAUUAUUUUGACUUCCCUUUUCCUUAUUUCUCUCUCCUUGUUUAUCUUUUGGCUUCUUCGCCUGCAAGCGCUGGAACAUUCCUUCUUUUUUUUCCCCUGAUUUACUUCUCUUUUCUCUUCCCUUCGGUUGCCCCUCUUAGCCACUUGGCUAUGGUUCCCUAUAAAUUCUAUGUCUUUCCCCCUUAACGCAAGCACUACAUAAGCAAGCUACCUUUCCUUCCUUCUUUUUCUGCCCCCCUCCUCUUAAGUCUUUCCUUAUCUUUCUCCUCCAAUUCAAAUCAAACAUUUCUCCUUGCUCAGAUCAUCUCCAACCCAUAAGGCCAAACUAAAAAAAUCCCCAAUUAUAGCCCCAUUCAUCUCCCAACCCAAGAAAAGUAAAGGGCCAAAAUAUGGGAAAACCCAAACUUAGGGCCAAAUACCAAUCCAUCUAUUGCCUGGGCAGAAAAACUUUUUGGUGGAGCCCAUUCAAGGCUCAUGCAGCCCAUAUGCAAGGAAGAGCAAUUGGGGCUAGUGCUGCUGGUCCCGCAGAUUGUGUCGCGCCACUUGUCAAAGAUUUAUGAAAUUGUUAUGGAAGAAAAAUUUAGAUUGUAAAAAUCCCAGCUUUUUGUAACCCCCUAAAAAAACCAUUAAUAAAUAAGUAAAUGUUGUAAAAGUGAAUAGAGAAAGUAUAUGAAAAGUAAGAGUAGUUCUCAAUAGCUCAAUGCUCAAGUGUCUUAUUCAUCUUUAGUGCUUACUAUUUAUAGGCAUAUGAAAUAUAUCAUCAUUUACCACCCUUAAGUGGUGGGUUACAAAACAUAAUAACCAAUGAUAAAUAUGGUACUUAGUGCAUAGGUUACAACCCUAUAAUGAAAGAUAUAAUGAUGGGUAUAGUGGAGGAAUUACAAUGGACUUAUGGUGGGCAUCCAUAAUAUUUGAGGUUACAACACUCCCCCUUGGAUGUCCACCAUGCAUGGAGUAUGCCUCAUUAAAACCUUGCCAGUAAAACCUGGUGGGACAAAACCUAGGCGAAGGGAAAAGAGUACAUAUCCAUGUGUAAUAUAGAACGUGUGACACUGCCUCAUUAAAAUCUUGCCUGAAAAAACCCAGUGGGAUAAAAACCAAAAGGAAGGAAAAAGAGUAUAGUGUGAAGGUCUCAAUUAUGACACGCUCCCCCUGAUGCUGCCAAAAGAUCCUUGAGUUGACGCAUUCCAAUAUGGUUGACCAUCUUUCUGAGUGUUGUAGUUGGCAGUGCUUUAGUGAAUAAAUCUGCAAAGUUGUUGCUGGAUUGUAUUUGUUGAACAUCUAUGUUACCAUUCUUCUGAAGUUCAUGCGUGUAGAAAUUUUUUGGGAAAAUGUGUUUGGUUCUGUCACCUUUGAUGUAUCCAUUUGUGAUUUGAGCAAUACAAGCAGCAUUAUCUUCAUAUAGCAAUGUUGGAGAAUUUUUGAUUGAAGACAACCCACUUGUUUCUCGAAUAUGUUGUAUCAUAGAUCUCAGCCAUAUACAUUCCCGACUUGCUUCAUGCAAUGCUAAUAUUUCAGAAUGGUUUGAAGAAGUGGCGGCUAAUGUUUGCUUUACAGACAACCAUGAUAUAGCAACACCACCACAAGUGAACACAUACCCUGUUUGUGAUCUACCUUUAUGUGAAUCAGAAAAAUAACCAGCAUCAGCAUAGCCAACUAUUUGGAAUUUUGACCCUUUUGAAUAAAAUAAACCCAUGUCAGCUGUUCCACGAAAAUUUCGUAGUAUAUGUUUAACACCAUUCCAAUGUCUCUUAGUUGGUGCAGAACUAUACCUUGCUAAUAAGUUUAUAGAAAUAGCUAUAUCAGGCUGUGUACAAUUUGCAAGAUACUUUAAAUCUUCAAUUGCACUAAGGUAUGUUACUUCAGGACCAAGUAAUUCUUCAUUAUCUUCUCGUGGGCGAAAAAGACCUUUCUUUACAUCAAUUGAUCGAACAACCAUGGGGCUACUUAAUGGAUAAGCUUUAUCCAUAUAAAAUCGUUUUAAAACUUUUUAUGUAUAUGUUGAUUGAUGGAUAAAGAUUCCAGUUGGUAAAUGCUCGAUCUGCAGGUUGAGACAGAAUUUAGUCUUCCCAAGAUUUUUCAUCUGAAAUUCCUUCAUUAAAUAAGCAGCAGUCUUUGUAAGCUCUUCAGGAGUUCCAACAAGGUUUAAAUCAUCCACAUAUACUACAAUAAUAGCAAAUCCACUUCCAGAUCUUUUAAUAAAAACACAUGGACAAAUUGGAUUAUUUACAUAUCCUUCUUGUAUAAGAUAUUCACUAAGGCGGUUAUACCACAUUCUUCCAGAUUGCUUUAAUCCAUACAAGGAUCGUUGUAAUUUAAUUGAAUACAUGUCAUGAUAUUUUGGAUCAUUUGCUUCAGGCAAUUUAAAUCUUUCUGGGAUCUUCAUAUAGAUAUCAUUCUCAAGUGAUCCGUAUAGGUAUGCAGUAACUACAUCCAUGAGUUUCAUAUCAAGUCUUUCUAUGACAACCAAACUAAUCAAGAAACAUAAUGUGAUUGCAUCUAUCACAGGGGAAUAUGUCUCCUCAUAAUCGAUUCUAGGUCUCUGCUAGAAACCUUGUGCUACAAGUCGUGCUUUGUAUCUCACAAUUUCAUUUUUCUCGUUACGUUUCCUUACAAACACUCAUUUGUAUCCAACCGGUUUCACACUUGCAGGUGUUUGGACUACUGGUCCGAAUACUUUACGAUUUUCCAAGGAAUUUAAUUAUACUUGGAUCACAUCUUUCCAUUUUGGCCAAUCCUCUCUAUGUCGACAUUCUUCAACAGUUUUUUGUUCAAGAUCCUCAUUAUCUUUUAUAAUUUCUAUAGCAACCAUGUAUACAAAGACAUCAUCAACAAUAGUUUUCUUUCUAUCCCAGCUUUCUCUUGUACUCAUAUAAUUCAAAGAGAUCUCUUCUGAUGUAUGUACUUCUUCUGGUGUAUGUACUUCUUCUGGUGUAUGUGCCUCUAUAGGGGCUAUAUCUUCAUCAAUUUUAAACUGGUCAGUUUUUGGCUCAUCAAGAGUACUAAUUUGUUUCGAAUUUUUAUCUUCUUAUGGAAUAGGCACUUCUUGUGUCCUUUUCUUUCGGGUAUUGACCUUCAGGGACAUCAAUCCUUGCUGGAGUAUUUACAGCCAAUAUAUGAGAUUUUGUUACUUUCUUUAUGUCAGUAAAAGCAUAUGGUAAUUGAUUUGCUAUACUUUGCAAAUGGAUGAUCCUUUGAACUUCAUAUUCAAUUUGAUUUGUACGUGGAUACAGAUGAGACAAUGAUGAUGCAUUCCAUGUAAUUUCACGCCGUUCUUCAGGAAGCAACACUUUUUCUCCCCCUAACGGCGGGAAAAUUAUCUCAUCAAAAUGGCAAUCCUCAAAGCGUGCUGUAAACAUAUCACCCGUCAGGGGUUCAAGAUAUCUAAUUAUGAAUGGAGAAUUAAAUCCAAUGUAAAUUCCAAGAUAUCUUUGAGAGCCCAUCUUAGUUCUCUUUAGUGGAAAAAUGGGAACAUUUACAGCACAGCCAAAAAUUUUUAAAUGAGAAAUAUUAGGUUGUUGGCCCAAACCAAGUUGUAAUGGAGAAUAUUGAUGAUAUGCAGUUGGUUGGAUGCGAACCAAAGAUGCAGCAUGCAAUAUAGCAUGUCCCCAAACAGAAGUAGGUAAUUUUGACCUUAAAAGUAAAGACCGAGCAAUCGUUUUAAGGCGUUUGAUAAAGGACUCUACUAAUCCAUUUUGAGUAUGUAUAUGUGCAACUAGAUGUUCAACACCAAUGCCAAUGGACAUGCAAUAAUCAUCAAAUGCUUGAGAUGUAAACUCACAAGCAUUAUCAAGACGAAUUGUCUUAAUUCGAUAGUCAGAAAAUUGUGCCAUCAAUUAGAUUGUUUGAGCAAGAAGCUUAGCAAAUGCAAUAGAACAAGUAGAAAGUAGGCAAACAUGUGACCAUCUUGCUGAUGCGUCUAUUAAAACCAUGAAAUAACUAAAUGGCCCACAUGGUGGAUGAAUAGGUCCACAUAUAUCCCCUCGGAUUCGUUGUAAAAAUGUUGGGGAUUCACUAACAACUUUCAAGGGAGAUGGUUUAAUAACCAAUUUUCCUUGUGAGCAAGCCUGGCAUGGACAAUCACUGGAUAAAAGAAUCCUCUGGUUCUUUAAUGGAUGACCAUGUGAAUUUUCAAUUAUUCGACACAUCAUUGUUGACCCUGGAUGGCCAAGUCGGUCAUGCCAAAGCAUAAAAAGCUUUGGAUCACUGAACUUCUGGUUUAUUAUGGUAUUUGAUUCUAUUGCACUUAUAGUUGUAUAAUACAAGCCAUAUAAGAGAGCUGGAAGUUUUUCUACUACAUGCUUAUGGCAUGAAAUAAUAGAAGUAAUGAGCAAAUAUUCUAUAUCCCCUCAUUUGUAGUGUCAAUAUGAAACCCAUUUAGACAUAUAUCCUUAAAACUAAUCAGAUUUGAAGGAAGUUGAGGUUCCACCCCAAAACCAAUUGGUAAUGGGGGGAGUAGCCCAACUCCUUAUAAGCCCUUGCUAGGUUUCUCAACUUUCCAAUGUGGAACUUUUUACCUUCACAUUCUCACACGCCCCCACACGUGUGGCGAAUUUUCAAGACUAACACGUGGACAACACAUAUUGGGUGAUGUGGAGCACGUGUGGCCGUUGGACUUUCACACGUGGGCAUCCCACUCUGAUACCAUAAAGGAAGUUGAGGUUCCACCCCAAACCAUUGGCAAUGAGGGGAGUAGUCCAACUCCUUACAAACUCUUGCUAGGUUUCUCAACUUUCCAAUGUGGGACGUUUUACCUUCACAUUCUCACAAGAUUUCUUCUAGAUCUGAUAGAAUAUAAAGCCUCUUUGAUUUAAUUGUGUGUUCCUCCAUGUAAUAUUAAACUGGCUCUUCCAGAGCCUUCGAUUAGCUUUGCACUACCUGAAAGUGUAUUCACAUUGGCUUUUGGUAAUUUUAAGUUUGAAAAUUAUUUCUUAUCCCGAAGGAUUGUAUGUGUUGUUGCACUAUCCACCAAACAUACAUCGCCAUCAUGCAUCUUGGAAUUGCUCAAAGCAUUGACAUUUUCCAUGCUUCUUCAUUUAAAGAAAAAUAUAUAUAAUAAGUUUAUGAAUAAAUAUAAUAAAAAAUAAAAUAAAAUAAUGCGAUCAUAGAUCAUUUUAUUGAAUUGAAAGCAUUACAAAUGAAAAAUUGAAACUUAAAAUCAUAAGUUCAUAUCGUUUUAAUGAAUUGAAAUAAAGCAACAUAAUAGAGCAACAUAAAAUUAGUCAAUAUUGGGGUUUCUAUCAUUGGCAUCAUCAUCACCAUCCUUCAUAUUUUCAUCACCAACAUUGGUAUUUCCAUCACCAUAUGAAUGGUCAAAUGUGCCGCUUGGUUCUGCAAAGAAAUAUAACACAUCCAAAUAGGUGAUAUUCAUUGGCUCAGUAAAAUCAUAAAAAAUGUUGCUGAAAUCGAUGAAGUUUGUUUCUUUCUCUUUUCUCUUUCCCUUAAUUGAUGCUUGAUAAAGAUUAACCAGGUGUUUCGCCGUACGACAGGUACAAGACCAAUGUCCUUUCAUACCACACCUAUAACAAGCCUCAUCACUUCUUUUUUUUUUUUUUUCAGAAUUAAUCUGCAUACCUUUCCCUUUUCCUUGUUUUUCUUCAUUGUCAUUCCACUUUUGGUGGUAUGGUGCACUUUUCUUAUUUGAGGCAUGAUUGUGACCACCUCGGUUUCGAAAAUUAUAAUGACCACGACCAUAACUACCACCCUGACCACGGCCAUGAUUGCUUGCAUUUGCUUCAGGAAAUGGUUUUGAGCCAAUUGGGUGGGAAUUAUGGUUUUUGACCAAAAGCUCAUUGUUUUGUUCAGCAACAAGAAGACAUGAAAUCAGUUGGGAAUAUUUUGUAAAUCUUUUUUCUCGGUAUUGCUGCUGCAGGAGCAUGUUUGAUGCAUGAAAAGUUGUGAAUGUUUUCUCCAACAUAUCUUCAUCAAUAAACGUGUCUCCACACAACCUCAAUUGAGAGACAGUUUUGAACAUUGUUGAGUUAUACUCAUUCACUAUUUUGAAAUCCUUCAAGCGCAGGUGCAUCCAAUCAUAACGAGUCUUUGGAAGAAUUAUACUCUUCUAAUGGUCAUACAUUUCUUCCAAAUUUUUCUAUAGGAUAGCAGGAUCCUUCACCUUAAGGUAUUCAGAUUUCAAUCCUUCAUAAAGGAGAUGGUGGAGGAAAAUCAUAGCUUUCAAGCGAUCCUGUAGGGAUGCUUCAUUUCUUUCCUUGAUGGUAUUUCCAAGAUCCUUUGCAUUCAAAUGAAUUUCAGCAUCAAGGAUCCAGGUCAAAUAGUUCUUGCCAGAAAUGUCAAGUGCCACAAACUCAAGCUUCAUGAGAUUUGACAUUGUUGAAUAUCUCUAAAAAAUUAAAAAUCAAAUAUUUCAAAAUUAAUUAAUUGUAAACAUGAAAAAUUAAAAUAUGCCUCAAUAAUAAUAAAAAUGAUCAUAUUACUAUCAAAUAAAAAAAUUAAAUAAAUGAACAUAUGCAUAAUUAGUCACUCAAAACAAUAGAUUUGAGUUCUAUAUAUUUAGGGCUUCAGGCUCUAAAAUAAUUAUAUAACUUAGAACUUCAGGUUCUAGAAUUAUUGAAUUUCUUUGAUUUAAAACUUCAGGUUUAAAUCAUUAGGAUGUGAACUUUGGGUUCUAAUAUAUAAAUAAAAUCCAUCUUUAUAAAAAUGCAACCGUUUAUUUAUAUAUUAUAAUAUAUAAAAUUAUAUGCAUGUUAUAGUGUAUAUUAAAUAUAUAUAUAAAAUAGAGACCCUGCACAAUUGGUUAGAAAAGAAAAGCUAAGAACAUGGUAGAACUAAACUUUGAGUCAUAGCAUCCUUCUGUCUUAUAGUUAAUCGACAUGUGUGAGAUUAUGUCUCAAAGAAACUUGGUUGGUGAAAGAAAAAAAAAUAUUAUAGCAUCAAUCGAAAUAAAAUAAGAAAUUAGAUAAGAAAAAUUAUACCAAGUCCAAGCCAAGAUCCUCAACUGAUAAUAGAGUCGUGCUAAUAACAUAUUGUAAAAAUGAAUAGAGAAAGUAUAUGAAAAGUAAGAGUAGUUCUCAACAGCUCAGUGCUCAAGAGUCUUAUUCAUCUUUAGUGCCUACUAUUUAUAGGCAUAGGAAAUACAUCAUCAUUUACCACCCUUAAGUGGUGUGUUACAAAACAUAAUAACCAAUGAUAAAUAUGGUAUUUAGUGCAUAGGUUACAACCCUAUAAUGAUAGGUAUAAUGAUGGGUAUAAUGGAGGAAUUACAAUAGACUUAUGGUGGGCAUCCAUAAACUUUGGGGUUACAAUAGUAAAAAUUUUAUUCCCCGUUAAACCGUGUAAUUCAUGUAUCUCUUCACCCUUAAAUCAAAGUUCUCAUCCUCAGAUUUCUAACUCUUUUUUCUUGUGCAUUUUGGGCUUCGUUUCAUUUUCGUGCCUUUGUCCCCAAUUUCAAUUACUUGAAAAUUUACCAGCCACUCAAAUUAGAUAAUCGUUCAACUCUGUGAUUUGGAAGAGUAACGUUGAGAUAUUUUUUUGGUUGAGUUGUAGAAGAACUGAAGGUUAAGACAAGAAAAUAAUAAUUUUAAAAAGAGGGUUACAACAAGCUACAGAUAAUAGAAGGAAGGUGGAAGUCAAAAUAAUAGAAUUUGGCAACAUAUGAUGGGGUUAGUAAAGAGAAUUUACUUGAAUUAAUAAUUAAAUUGUAUUUUAGGAAUAAUGGUGGGUGGAAAGAUAAGAUUGUGUUUUUUCAAAUUUUAAAUAGUAGAAGAUAACGUAGGUGGGAAAAUAGGAAAGAGAAUUUACGUGAAUUAAUAAUUAAAGGGUAUUUUAAGAAUAAUGGUGGGUGGAAAGAUAGGAUUGUGUUUUUUUAAAUUUAAAUAGUAGGUGAGAAGAUAAGGUGAGUAGAGAAAUAGAAAAGAGAAUUUACGUGAAUUAAUAAUUAAAGGGUAUUUUAAGACUAAUGAUGAGUGGAAAGAUAGAAUUGUGCUUUUUUAAAUUUAAAUAAUAGGUGAGAAUAUAAGAUGGAUGGAUAAAUAAGACGACGGUGGAAAUAGCAGCAAUAUAGAAAUUAAUAAAAACACAAAUUCCAAAUACUUUUUUUGGUCUGAAACACAAAUUCCAAAUAUACAGACACAAUGUCAAGUGAAAUGUGAAGAGACGAGAGAGAGAAUGUGAUGGCAAACCCUCGAAGGAACAGCCAGAGCUCAGAGAACCAAUUCCAUAGCCAAAGCAUCCAAUUCUCCUCAUCACUUGUCCACUUUCUGAAGAAGCCGCAUGCCUUCCCUUUUCUGCUCUCCAUCCUCCUUUUGCUCACAUGGGUCUCUCUCAGACUUCAACACUCCUCCUACCUCUCCUCUGCUCCUUCCCAUAUUUCUAAAGACAAAGACAAGCCCCUCACCCAUAAAAAAUGGAGCCAAUUGAGUGAUUCCAGCGCCAAUGUCAUUAGGUUCAGCUCUGGGUUUCCUUCUCGGAUUGCAAAAGACAAGAGGGGAUGGCUGCUCGACCCCAUCUCCCUUGCCCUUGAUUCUGGCAUUUCAGGCACACCCCCUUUCUCUUUCUUGUUUUCCUUUUUUGUUGCUUUUCUUUUUUCGUAAUUUGAAAGGUAAUUGAUGGGAUUUUCUUUGAAUAGUGAGAGAGAGAGUUGAUGGGUGAAAUAAUUUUUUAUUUUUUGUAUUAUUUGUUUGCAUCAAAAUGCAUCCGUUUCCAUUGCAUUGUCAUGAAAGAGUAUUUUGAUUUCAACCCAUUUGGCUGCUUUUUCUUGCACUGUAUGACAUUGAUUCUAUAGCCUGUUGGUUGUAUAAAUAUUGAAUUUAAAUUCUUGUGAAGUUGUAGGAAAAUGAAUUUUAUUGGGUUUCCUCUGGAUUUGGAUUUCCAACUCAAAUCUGAUCCCUGAAACAAAAUGCAUUUGCUGGUAGUUGAGGAAAUGAUUGUGUUUGUUUACAGGUGGAGCUGUGGGCUGUGUUUCAAUUCAUCUUGGAGAAAUCCAACCUGGUGGUUUGAGGGGAAAUCACAGGCACCAUACUUGUAAUGAAACAUUUGUCAUAUGGGGUGCUGAAACCAAGUUUAGGGUAAGCUCUCAGUUCCAUAGAAGCAUAAAUGUUAUAAAAUUUUACUUUUUUUUUGCAGUAUACUAAAUGACUAGAUCAUCUAUUCUGGAUGUAUUCAUUGUGGCAAUCAAUAUAAUUUUUCGACAAGAUUGUUCAUUGAGUUGAAAAGUUCCAAAUUGAUAGAGGAUAAUUGCAUGCAUGAAACAAUGAAAAUAUGAAAACUUUGAUAUAACUUCCGUUCUGUUUAUAGAUGUUUGAGCUGUUUGCCUUAUUUUAUAUCUGAUGUCAGUUCAAAACUUAUGUAUGUUGGAAAUUAAAUUUAGGUUCUGAGUAAUUUAGAUGUUUAUGAUAAAAAAAACUGAAGGGAACUCACUCCAGUUUUAAACCCAAAUGCAUAGUUUGAUUACAUGAAUACUUUUGCCCGUCUCUGCCUGAAAGUUUGUAGGACCUUAUGUUCAUUUUCUGCCUAGGGUUUUUAUAUAUGUUCUAUGUCUGACCACGUCAUGGAACUCUGCUGUUUGGACAUCAAACUGGCUAUUUAGCAAGACUUUAAAAACAUAUAGCAGCGCAUAGGCACAAAUCACAACUGGCCAACAAGGGCAAACAAGGAUGCCACAUAAUGUUGAAAAGUUCUAUAUUUCAACUUAUUUCGUUUAUGAAAUUGCAUAGAUGAUUUUGUUUAUGAAAUCAAAUAAAAUAAUCAUGUAGUUGGAUUUGAACUCAAGGGUUGAGAAAUGUAGAUCCUUACUCUUAAGUUUUUUUUGGGAAAGAAAGCCUUUAGGUUCAUCUAAAUUUAUGCUAAAAUAACACACUUAUAUCUUAUUUUAGUAAAAACGCAUUAGCAUGCCUAUAAACAAGGGAUUCACUAGAAAUGCACAAGAAUGAACUUUCUAUGUAAGUUCAUUAAUUUAUCUUUUUGUAUAGAAGAUAACUUAGUUUAGAAUGACCUAAAUAUCCUGACCAUUCUACUACCAACUUGUUUAUAAGGCUAUACUUUUCUUUCUCAAAACCAAUUCAUUUAGUUAAUUAAACUGAUGUGAAAUAAUCUUCACCACAAGGAUUUUAUUUUCACACGUCAUCUCCACUGGCUAGUCACAGCCAUGGCUAAUUUCUGAAAAAUUCUGGGAAGUAGCUAGAUAGGAAGUUCUGGGUGGUAGUAUGGCACCAUUCUGCUGUCAAAAUGUCAUAAAUCUUGUCCUUUGUACAAUAUCAGUGAGAUCCAGUGGAAAUGCCUUGGAUAUUUUCACAGAUAUCAAAUAUAUUUCUACCAAUUUCCAAUUCCUGCUCUCUUUCAGCCCAAUAUGGAGAAUUUCAUUGAAAUGUUGCAGGAAGAAACCUUCUGCUCCCAAUGUGUUGGCAACUUAAAAUUUUGACAUAUCCGCAUAAUAUCGGACUGGAUAUGUCAAUAUUUUCAUCACUGAGUGCAAGUUCUCAUCACCAGAUUUUAUUUCCUUUGUUUCCGAGGUUGCUUGUAUUUUUAUGGCACACACAAAUUGAAAUUGCCUGAUGUUAUGGCCCUUUCUGCUGUCAACAAAUAAAUUGUGUCAACGGUCCUACAGUAGUUAUUAAAACGACUGCAUUCUAAUGUGCAUCCAUUAGGAAAUUGCCUGAUAGUAUCUGUUGUUACAAUUAGGAUGAAUAAGUAAUUCAGAUGAUCCGAUAUAGGUAUAAUGACAUAAAUUUAGAUGUCUCAUUGUAGUGUUUCACUUCAUAAUCUUGUUAUUUUUUACUUACUCUUUUAGUUGUGAACUAUUUGAAGCUGGAGAACCACCAGGUGGAUGGUAAAGGCUAUGCUGAAGUGACCAUUGGUGCAGAUGAGGUUGCUGUUGCAGGUAGCCCAAGCGGAACUGCCCAUGCUUUAAUAAAUAUAGAUCCAGUACGGAGUUCAUACUUCAUAGGAUGUCAAGACAGCAUCAUAAAUUAUAACAGCUCAAGUACAGAUUUUAAUGUCUGGAAAAAUCUUUAAGUAAUUUAUUUAUUUAUAUAUAUAGUCCAUCCAAGCAACUUAUUCAGUAACUUGGAGUCAAACAUGAAAAAUCGUUGUCUUUCUCUCUCUCCUAGCUUGCAAUUUACAAGACUAGGGCAUUGGCGGAGUACAUAUAGACUAUCUAACAAGAGUUUCUUAGCUUCUAUGUAUAUAUGUGUUUUCUUUUUUAGCAUGUGAUUGGCAGUGCUGGGGCUUUGCAAGAUUACAAAUUGACUAUGGAACAUAUUUUCUUAGGCAUUUUUGUAUACGUGUACUGUUUCGUCCAUAUUUUUGUAUUCUCAGCAAGCAUUCUUUGUUUCCAGCAAAAGCAAGAAUUCUGUUUUCUGUAUUUUGCUUUCGUAAACAUUCUUCGCCUCUUUUUGGAUGCAUGUGCUGGAUGCUAAUAAAUUUUGUUCUCCAUAUGCCACUUCAUUAAAAUUUAAUCUAAGGAAAUUAAAAGUUGACACAUCAUCCUUCAAACAAAAAUUCAAUUUACUCUUAAUUAAAAAAGAAAAAAAACACCCUAACCCAACUAACGGCAAAGUUAACAUCCCGACCUUUUUUUCUUCUUCUCGUCUUCCUGUCUCACGUCUCUUUUGUGGUCAAUUUCUGUCUCACGUCCUGUCCUUAACUUUUUUCUUUCUUCAUGUCUCUGCCUUAAAAUCUUAUCUCUCACACCACGCUUUCCUCUCUCCCAAACCUCUGCAAUCACAAUCCUUUCUUUUUCCCUAUCAAAAGAAAAGUCACGUUUCAAGAGUGUUUUUGUAUUUUGUAUUAUUGUAGGUGGUGGGAUUUUUGCGUUUCUGGGCUUUAUGGUUUCACUGAGUAAUUUAAAUCAUAAAUAACGCAUUAAAUUUAUUUGUCAAGUUAUUCCUUUCUAACCAUAAAAAUCCAAUCUGUUUAGAAAGCUUCCUGAGAAACAAAGAAGAAUAAAUUAUUGUUUUCCAUUUCUGGGAAGAGCCAAGACGCUCAGAAUUUGAUAAUUGUUACCAAGUUUUGUGACCUUGGUAAGAGAUCAAGAUUUUGGGUCAGAGACAAGGAGGACGAAAAAAAAAAAAAAAGACAGGACGUGUGAGACAGGAAGAAUUUAAGAAGGAAGGGCAAAAAAAAGAAAAAAAGAAAGAUCUACAUCAUCCCAAUCUAUACCCCUAGAGCUAUUACUUUUGCAUAUGCCCAGAAUAAUUCAAAUCUUUCAUUGAAGCCAUUGUCAUAAUUAUCUUCAAUUUUUACUUUUACUUUUACUUCAUUGAAUUCCUUUAUCCUCAUUCAAUAAUAUUCUGAAUUUUUGCCCGCCUACACUUGUGUUCUUCAAUUAUUUUCUGAACCCUUUCCCAUUUCUUAUUGUCUUGUUUCAAUCAUGUUCUGAACCAUUGCUCAACUUUGUCUAUCUCACUUUAUUGGAUUCCCUUAUCUUUCCCUAUCUUUUCCCAUCUUCAUUCAAUUAUUUUCUAAACCAUUUCUUAUCUCUUUUUGUCUUGUUUCAAUCAUGUUCUGAACCAUUGCUCAUCUUUGUUCAUCUCACUUUAUUGGAUUCCCUUAUAUUUCCCUAUUUUUUCCUAUCUUCAUUCAAUUAUUUUCAAACAUGUAGGUCAUCUUAUCCUCUUGUCUAUUUAAGAAGUGUUAUUCUACCCAAUUGACCACACAGUCUCCUUCAAUUUUAUUCUUCUUCUUAUAAUGAAUUCACGUGGGAAUGCUAUACAGAAUUUCUUCAAUGAUGAUUUUGAUGAUUAUGACCUUCAUCAACAGAGGGUUGUAAUGGCCGUUCAACACCAUACAUUUUUGUUGGAGCAAUAUGCUCAACAAUCCAAACAUGGUGGUUUCGUUGUAAGCCAUGAAUACAAGAAUCAGAAGAGAGAAAAAUAUCAUAAGAAUCUCAUGGAGGACUAUUUCUGUGAAAGACCACUUCAUCCCCCAGUGGACUUUGGCAGGCGGUUUCCGCAUGAAAAAAGAGCUUUUCUAUUGCAUCUUGAAUGAUGUUGUUGCACAUGAGCCAUACUUUACCCAGAAGAUCGACGCUUAUGGACCUCUGAAACCUCUGAAACCUUAUCAUAAGAGUCGCAACUGUUAGAAAACAGUUAAUUAAACUAAUCCAAAUUAAUUAAAAAAAAAUAUUAAUUCGAAACUAAAAAAUUAAUUUAAACCUGAAAGUGCCCAAAUGCCCCAAAACCAAGGCCCAUCUUUUUUAUAAUUAAAUAUUAUAUAUUAAUUAUAUAAUAUUCAAUGCCCAAAUUGAUUUUGAAACCCAAUUGACUUCCACUUGGCCCAACUUUCAUUUACCAAGUGCGGGACUUCCACACUUAUAAAAACCUCACUCUUUCUUCUUUCUACCAAUGUGGGACAAAUGUCCUUGAGUUUCAUUCAAACUUCCAACAAUAUCCCACAUUUGAAUCGAAAUUUUAGACCCCACAUUUGAAAUGUUAUACUUAUAGUGCUAAAUGAAUGUAAUGCAUUUGAGAGGAAGCAGACGUUAUAUACAUCAGGAAAAGUGUCAUUUGGACUUGAACUUACCCUAGUGAAAACAUAUCGGAUUUACUUGGUGAUGUAGUGGACAUAAUUGAUCUUGAAUUGUUCACUGCUAUAGUAAACCUAGACAAUAUGUCUCACACAUAUAACACCUUAACAAACGUUAGUUCAUACGUUUUUGUUCAUUUUGGUCCUGAACAUGUCCCAAGUUUCAUGAGAGCUUUAGAGAACUUAGCCUUUUUUCGUUUUCAUAAAUGCUGCCCCACAUUACUCCCAUACAGGUGACACCAAUUAAGAGUUUUCUACCUAACUCCUCUUAAUAAGAUAUUAGUGUCAUUAAAUGCAAAGCAUAACCUUCACAUCAACAGACAACAAACUAACCAUCAUAGGAAUGAAUUGCAUUGUGUGUUCAACUUUUUGAAUCUUACCCAACCAUUUUUCCUAUUGAACCUAGACCAUGGAAUCUCCAAUCAAUUAGGUUAGGUUUAUGCCAGAUUUAACUUAUUAGAUUGGCUUUAAUCUCAUUCCUCUCGAUGUAAAUUUGAUUUGCUCUCUUGGUAGGCCUUUUAUCAAAGGAUCUGCAAUAUUUUCCUUUGACUUCACAUAGUCAGUGGAUAUAAUUCCAAUUGAGAGCAAUUGUCUAAUUGUAUUAUGCCUACGCCUGAUAUGUCUUGACUUUCCAUUGUAUACACCACUUUAGGCUCUUGCUUGUGCUGCCCUCACAGUGUAUACGAAUUGCUAUCACAAGCUUAGGCCACAUUGGAAUGUCUUCUAGGAAGUUUCUCAGCCAUUCUGCUUCUUCAGCAGCUUUAUCCAAGGCUACAAACUCUGAUUCCAUUGUAGAGCAUGCUAUACACGUCUGUUUAGAGGAUUUCCAAGAUACUACAGCUCCACCUAAUAUAAAUACAUAUCCACUAGCUGAUUUGGUUUCUGUACUGUCAGAAAUCCAAUUUGCAUCACUAUAGCCUUCCAGAACUGGUGGAUAUUUUGUGUAAUGCAAUCCAUAAUCUUGGGUGUAUUUCAAAUAUCUUAACACCUUGAUUAAUGCCUCCCAAUGAUCAUGUCCAGGAUUGCUUGUGUAUCUACUAAGCUUGCUUAAUGAAUAAGCUAAGUCUGGCCUUGUAGAAUUCAUUAAAUACAUUAGGCUGAAUACUCCAAUUGGGAAAUUGCACCUCCAUUAUUCUUCUUUAACUUGCAAUUUACAUAAAAAAGAGUCACAGCAGGUUUGUAGUCAAAUUGACAAAACUUUCUUAAGAAAAUUCCGCAUAAUGGGAUUGAGUAAGAAUAUACCCAUCACUAUUUCUUUUGAUUUGAAUUCCCAAAAUGACAUCAGCUUGACCUAAGUCUUUCAUGUCAAAAUUUGAAUUCAACAUUUUCUUUGUAGAAUUUAUUGCAUCCUUACGUGUUCCCAUUAUGAGCAUGUCAUCAACAUAUAAACAUACAAUAACACAAGAAUUUUUGUUGUUCUUUAUGUAAACACACUUGUCACACUCAUUGAUCUUAAAUCUGUGUGACAUCAUUGUCUGAUCAAACUUUUGAUGCCAUUGUUUUGGAGCUUGUUUAAGUCCAUAUAAAGACUUAACAAGUUUACAGACUUUAGUUUCUUGACCUUUUACCACAAAACCUUCUGGUUGUUCCAUGUAUAUUUCUUCAUCUAAUUCUCCAUUUAAAAAAGCUAUUUUUACAUCCAUUUGAUGUAUGUCCAUAUUGUGUAUAGCAGCUAUAGCAAUUAACAUCCUUAUAGAUGUAAUUCUUGAUACUGGAGAAUAAGUGUCGAAAUAAUCCAACCCUUCCUUUUGCUGAUACCCUUUAGCAACUAAAUGUGCCUUGUAUUUAUUGAUAGUACCAUUGGCUUUUAGCUUUCUUUUAAAAAUUCAUUUAAAUCCAAUUGGUUUGUUAUCAGGUGGUAAAUAAACCAAUUCCCACGUAUGGUUCUGCAUAAUGGAUUCUAUUUCGCUAUUAACAGCUUCCUUCCAUAAAGGAGCCUCAGGUGAAGGCAUAGCUUUCUUAUAAGUUUGUGGUUCUUCUUCAGUCAGGAAACUUACAAAAUUUGGUCCAAAUUUUUUUGCUGUUUUAGUCCUCUUUCCUCUUCUACGUUCCUAGUCUUUUUCUUGGACACCUAAAGAGGAUGGUUCAUCAGGAUUUCCAUCAUGUACUUUCCUCUUGUUUGAACCAAACUUUUUUUCUUUAUAAGGAAAAAUUUCCUCAAAGAAAUCAGCAUCAACAGAUUCUAUAAUUGUGUUAACAUGUAUAUCAGAAAUAUCAUAUUUAAUAACUAAAAAUCUAUAUGCAGCACUUGUGUUAGCAAAACCUAUGAAAACACAACCAAUAGUUUUAGGUCCAAGUUUUACCCUCUUUGGUAAGGGUACUUGUACUUUAGCUAGGCAACCCCACACUUUCAGUGUCUUGUAUGUAGGAAUCCGUCCUUUCCACACUUCAUAAGGAGAUUGUUUAGUCUUCUUAUGUGGAAUUCUAUUCAAAAUGUUAUUUGCAGUAAGUAAGGCUUCACCGCACAGAUUGUGUGGAAGCCUAGAGUUAUUCAACAUGGAAUUUAUCAUCUCCUUGAAAGUUCUAUUUUUCCUUUCUGCUACACCAUUUUGUUGCGGUGUAUAUGGUGCAAUGGUUUGAUGUAUAAUUCCAUGAGUUGUACAAAAAUAAGAAAAUGCAGUAGACUCAUAUUCUCCGCCUCUAUCUUAUCUAAGUACUUUCACUUUUCUAUCAAGUUGAUUCUCAAUUUCUGCCUUGUAUGUCUUAAACAUCUGUAAAGCUUCAUCCUUGCUUUGUAUUAAGUAUACAUAACAAUGCUUAUUGCAAUAAUCUAUAAAUGUUGUAUAAUAAUUUUUUCCACCACGAGUUGGUGUGGAUUUCAAGUCACAAAGGUCACUAUGAAUUAAUCCAAGUAAUACAUUUGACCUUCCUUAAAUAGAUUUAAAGGUUUGCCUAAAAAACUUGGAUUCUAUACAAGUUUCACACUUAUUAUUAAAGUCAAUAUCAAAUUUGGGCAAUAAACCUAGAUGCAUCAUUCUAUGCAUAGAUCGAUAAUUUACAUGACCUAACCUAGCAUGCCCAAAUAUUUGAAGGCUCAACAAAGUAAACGGAAACCUUAUUUAUAUUAUUAAAAGCAUCAUUGCCAGUUACAUUGAGUUUGAAGAAGCCAUCAACAAGGUAACCCAUUCCUACAAACAACCUUCCUUUGGUUAGGAUGAACUUGUUAGAUUCAAAAACAAGUUUGAAACCCUUCUUGCUCAGAAUAGGGCCAGACACUAAAUUCUUCCUAAUUUCAGGAACAUACAGCACAUCCAAAAGGGUUAAAACCUUCCCAGAAGUGACUUUAGCAACACACUGCCUUUGCCUUCAAUUGCAGAUAUAGAGGCAUUUCCUAAGUACAGAUUUCAGUUACCACAAAUGUGCCUAGUAGUACCUGUAUCAACCCACCAAUCCUUAGUAUCAGAAACCAUAUUGGUUUCAGACACUACAACCACAAAAUCCUCAUUGACUUCAGUCAUGUUGGCUUGAAGAUUGGUUAGAUUUUGGUCUUUUCGAUGGUAGAAAUCUUGUAUUUUAUACCCUGAUUUUCCACAUACCUAGCAAGCGUCUUUGAUUUUCUUGAAAUCCUUACCUUUUGGUGCAUGAAGAUUGGCAUAAUUCUUUGCUUGCCCUUGUUUUUCUAGAACUUUGGCUUUGAUGUCUCAACGACAUUGGCUUUGGCUUUCAUGACAGGCACUUCACCUUUGUCACCUUUCCUGCGAUCCUCCUCAACUCGAAGCCUCAAAAUUAGAUCCUUCAUAGACAUCUCUCUGCGCUUGUGCUUCAAGUAAAUUUUGAAGUCUUUCCAUGAUGGAGGCAGUUCCUCUGUGAUUACUUCAACUUGAAAGUGUUCAUUAAUAGAACACCCCUUUGCAAGCAUAUCAUGGAUCAGAAUUUGAAGUUCCUCAAACUGUUUAAUAACAGUCUUGAAAUCAACCAUGGCAUACUUGAGAAAUUUUCCAAUCACGAACUUUUUGGCACCAGCAUCUUAUGUUUUGUAUUUUUUCUCAAGUAAUUCCCAAACUUCCCUUGUAGAAUUGUAUGAUGAAUAAAUGUCAUACAGAGUAUCAUCAAGCUUGUUAAGGAUGUAGUUUCUGCACAGCAAAUCAGAUUGUUUCCAAGCCUCAAUGGUCAUCAUUGUCUCCUUAGACAUUGGAUUUUCUCUUGAUUUGGGAGCCUCUUCUCUGACAACAUGUGCCAAAUUCAUGGUUGUGAGAUAGAAAAACAUCUUCUGUUGCCAUCUCUUGAAGUCAAUUCCCUUGAACUUCUCAGGCUUCUCGUCAUGAGGAUUCUUAGUCACCCCAUUCACAGUCAUUGGUGAUUGUGAAUCCAUCGGUUUUUACUGUCUUUAGGUUGUUGGAAAAACAACAAUUAGUGACUAUUUAAACUAAUUAUUUAUUAAUAUAUAUAUACAUAUAUAUAUAUAAAUCAAUGAAAUAGAAUUUAUAACAAACUGUAAUACAGAAUACAGUAAACAAACAACAAAUGAAACUGACUUGGAUUCGAGAUAGAGGCUUGCAGAUUUGAUGCAAUGUCCUAAAGACAGUAAUUUCUAUUAGGAAAUAUCUUUGUAAAUAUUUGUAAUAUCUUUACUUGCCCAAAUUAGUGUAGGUCAAAUCCCACUAAUAUUGGAUCACGUCUUCAAAGCCUUAACAGUAGGGUUGAUAGAAGGCUAUUGUUGUAUAUAUGUAUUGUACUAUUUGACGUUGGUAAUACAACAGAAUAUUCAACCAUUUACUUUCUUUAGUUGGUAUCAGAGCUUCAUCCUGGUACUUGACCCCUUCUACUUCCUAGCCACCUUCAAACACCAUGUCAGAUCAAACACCACCAGAAACCAGAGACAAUACUUCCAAAAAUUCAAGCACCAACACCAAAAAUCCUGGUAUGGAUUCAUCACACCCAUAUUUUGUUCAUCAAUCAGAUCACCCGGUCUCAUGCUCGUUCCCAUAAAGUUGAAUGGCACCAAUUACCCAUCUUGGAGUAAAUCCAUGCUCCAUGCUCUCACGGCCAAGAACAAAGUUGGCUUUGUCAAUGGAUCCGUUCAACCUCCUUCAGAAACAGAACAACCAACCGAAUAUGCUCUCUGGAAUCAAUGCAACAGUAUGAUUUUAUCAUGGCUUGCUCAUUCGGUGGAACCCGAUCUGGCCAAAGCAGUUGUUCAUGCCAAGACUGUCCAUCAAGUUUGGCAAGAUUUCAAAUAUCAAUUCUCACAAAAGAAUGCACCAACCAUAUAUCAGAUACAGAAAUCCAUCGCCUCUCUCUCACAAGGCACCAUGAUGGUUUCAGACUAUUACAAGAAACUCAAAGAUCUUUGGGACGAAUUAGAAACAUAUCAAACACCUCUCACAUGUAACGAGAUGAAAGCACACAAUACACAAAAGGAAGAAGAUCGGAUGAUGCAAUUCCUUAUGGGCCUCAACGACACCUACAACGGUGUUCGCGGGAAUAUCCUCAUGAUGUCGCCAUUGCCUAAUGUCCGCCAAGCCUAUUCACUUGUCGUUGAAGACGAAACACAGCGACAAAUAACAUCAGGACCAACAGAGAAUUUUUUUCAUUGCCGCUGCAAUUCACAACCGAUCAAACAAUAUGUCGAAUAAUUCGACGAACAAACACUGUGAGCACUAUGAUAGAAACGGUCAUACAAUUGAAGAAUGUCGGACCCUCAAAUUCCAUUGCAAGUAUUGUGAUAGGAGAGCCCACACUGAGGAUAGAUGUAAAUUUAAAAAUGGGACAUGGAUUCCCAAUGACACAGGAAUUCAAGGCAGUAGGCAUAAUCAAUCUAAGCAACAACGUCAAGGGUCUAGAGGGCACAUCAAUUCACAUGGGUCCUUUCCUACUGCCCACGCCGCAGACACAGCUCUAGCGCAUGAGGCCCAAUCAUAUGGUUUCAGUGCACCAACCCAGCCAGCCUCUCAAUCUAACCCUUUACAUGGGUUUUCUGCAGAGCAACUCCAACAACUAGCACAUGCCGUUUCUAUGAUGAGUUCAACUCAUUCCUCUAGUAAUAGCAAUGCUUAUGCAAAUGCUGCAGGUCUGGCUCCUUUUUCCAUUCCCUCCAUAAAUUCUGUGUUCACUAAACCUUGGAUUUUAGAUAGCGGAGCUACUGAUCACAUCACUUAUGAUCCCACACUUUUCACUAAAACUGAAUCAUCACAAAUGCCCAUUGUUAAUUUACCUACUGAUUCUCAUGCCCCAAUCACUUCCACUGGCACUAUACCAUUCAAUUCAAAUAUCACAUUAGACAAAAUUUUGUGUGUUCCAUCUUUUCGCUUAAAUCUUAUGUCUGCCAGCAAACUUACUACUUCUCUAAACUGUUGUGCCAUUUUAUUUCCUACCUUCUGUGUCUUGCAGGACUUGGCUACAGGGAAGAUGAUUGGCUUGGGUAAACAGCGUGGUGGUCUCUAUUACAUGUCUCCAUUGCAAAAGACACCUAUCUAAUAUCAAGUUUCACUCUCAUCUGAUUUAUGGCACAUGCGACUUGGACACCCAUCCCCCGCUCGUCUUCGAUUAGCUUCUUCAUUAUUGCCUUCCAAUACUAUUUCUUUUGAUAAUAAUUAUAGUGUUUGUCCCAUGGCCAAACAAACAAGACUUCCAUUUCCUCUAAGUUCAAUAUCAACUAAAGCUCAUUUUGAUUUGUUACAUUGUGAUAUUUGGGGUCCACACAAAGUUAUCACACAUUCAGGGGCACGUUUCUUUCUUACCAUUGUGGGUGACUUUACUAGGUGCACAACGAUAUUUUUGAUGCAGCAUAAAUCUGAAACCCAAAACCUUCUCAAAUCUUUUGUUGCUUUUGCCCACUUUCAAUUCCAUGCCAACAUUAAAACCAUUCGGGUAAACAACGGGUCUGAAUUUUUCUCCAUGAGGGAUUUUUUUCAAAAUAAUGGCAUUGAAUAUCAGCGCACUUGUGUUUACACUCCACAACAAAAUGGAGUCGUCGAACGCAAGCAUCGCCACAUUCUCACUGUCGCAUGUGCAUUACUUUUUCAGUCUCACUUACCCAUUAUUUUCUUGGGUGAAUGUGUCUUGACCGCUGUCUAUCUUAUUAACCGAUUACCCUCACCAUUACUUUCCAGUAAAUCACCUUUUGAAUUGUUAUACAACCGUCCCCCAUCACUCGACCACUUGAAAGUCUUUGGUUGUCUCUGUUAUGCAACUAUUGUCCAUCCUCUUCACAAAUUUGAUCCCCAUGCCACACGUUGUGUCUUUGUUGGAUAUCCUACUGGCCAAAAGGGUUACAAACUCUACAAUUUGGAGACAAACAAAUUUUUUGUAAGCCGUGAUGUCCGAUUAUGUGAAAAUACCUUCCCUUUCUCUCAAUUUUUGGCCUCCCUUACCCCACCUACUUCUCAGCCCUACCUUUCCUUUGAUUUUCUUAACAGCUGGACCCCACCAAUUGAUCCGCCCAACCCACUAGCCAAUCCACCCAACCCUCUAACCAACCCACCACAAGUGCCUAACCACUCUAUCCUCUCUGACGCACAUGACGAGCUUGACAGCCCCACCUCUCCCAUCCCACCUUUGUCCCCAUCCGUCGACCCCACCCCUCCACAUACAGAUAAUCUCAUUCCUCUCAUUCCCCCUCCUCGAUAGUUCACUCGCUCUAAACAUCCUCCGGCAUGGCAUACAGACUACCACAUGUCCAACCAUGUCAAUCACUCAACCUCAACACCUCGUUCUGCAUCAGGUACUCGGUAUCCCCUUUCCCACUUCCUUACCUACUCUCGUUUAUCCUCUACCCAUUGUGCUUUUCUCGCUAACAUUACAGGUCACACAAAACCCACAUCCUAUGCUCAGGCUAUUCUUGAUCCACAUUGGUGCCAAGCCAUGACUGCAGAACUAGAGGCUUUACAGCACAAUAACACUUGGAGUUUGGUUCCCCUGCCUGUUGGUCAUAAACCGAUCGGAUGCAAAUGGGUCUACAAAAUCAAAUACAAGUCCGACGGCACCAUUGAGUGCUACAAGGCUCGGCUUGUUGCUAAAGGCUACACUCAAAUUGAAGGCAUCGAUUAUCAGGAGACUUUCUCCCCUACAGCCAAACUCACUACCCUCCGUUGUCUUCUUACUGUUGCUGCUACCCGCCAUUGGUUCAUCCACCAAUUAGACGUUCAAAAUGCUUUUCUCCAUGGCGAUUUACAUGAGGUGAUGUACAUGGAGCCUCCUCCUGGUCUUCGCCGACAGGGGGAGAACGUUGUAUGUCGGCUCAACAAAUCUCUUUAUGGUCUCAAACAGGCUUCCAGAAACUAGUUUUCCACCUUUUCAAAUACCAUUCAAAAGGCUGGUUAUCAACAAUCUAAAGCUGAUUAUUCUCUUUUUACCAAGGCUAAAGGCACUUCAUUUACUGCAGUUCUUAUCUAUGUUGAUGACAUACUUCUCACAGGAAAUAAUCUUCAAGAAAUGGAAUGACAGGACCCGAUCCAAAUUCCGCUUUGGAAUCCGACCCAGACCCUCUGCGUGUCCGACACCUGGCGAAUGUCGGGCACAAAUGACCUAUUUGCCCUUCUAUACAAAACACGAUAAAAAUAACAAGGUUGACUUCUACCGAAAAAUCGACAGAGUUUCCCUUGUAACUGGCUCAAUACCAAAACAUUUACACCUGUCAAAACAAGUAUAUAUAUAUAUAUAUAUACAACCAACUGCCAGCAUACAUAUAUAUACACAUGCAAAGAGUUCACAGCUCAGUCUAGGGCAAAACAUCAGAGCGACUACUAAGAAUUUACAAAAGAGUGAAUCUUUGUACAAAAUACAAAUCCUACAUCAAAGAAAGGCGCGGAAGAUGGGAAGUGGCCCGGUGGUGGAUUCCUGUGCACGUCUACUGCCUGGGGGCGCAAAACAACAAAAGGGGUGAGUGGACCCAAAAACAAAGCUUAGAAACUACCAUAUGAACAUACUAACCCCACUGUAAAAACAGUUAUACAAACUAGCUUAUUUUCUUUAUUUUUGAAAUCAGUGCAUGUAUAUAUAUAUACAUUUGAAAACAGUUUAAACUAUCACCUAGGUGUACCCUUAUUUCCGUCAAUUCCUUAUAUCCGUCAAUUCAUUGCAUCACCAUGGGUGACACAUACUCGCAGGUCUCAGUGACACGAAGUCAGUCCUAGCCGCAACUCGCAGGAUUCAGGGAACCGUAGUCCACCUUUAUCCGCAUUACUCGCUCCACACGAGUUCGAGUAACAAAGAACUCGUGGGGCAACUGUCAAGCAUGCUGACUAAACCGAAGGCAACAAAUAUAAUCGAAGGCAACAUUUAAUAUCUGGGUACCAUGUGGUUUAAGAAAAUAUAAAGUUUCUGAAGAAAAUCUGUUGAAUAAUUAACUGUCUGUAACCUUUAAAAUUCUGCUGCCAUUUAUCUGAUAAUUAACGAGAAUAUCUUUUCCUGUAUUCUUUAAAAGGAAAUUUCACUCGGCAGCAUGCAACAUAAAAUAUUUAACAGCAUAAAACAGCUUAUAACUGAAACUGAACUGCUUAAAUUCAUUUAUUAAAACAAAGAGUCCACUCACUGAUAGUCUGAGCUCGCUGGACCUCUUGAAGGUCCCUCCUGUGGGUCAACUAGUGCCCGGGUGCCUUAC
Molecule: long non-coding RNA, 25653 nt
Filed under: Prunus persica (peach)
Lineage: Eukaryota; Viridiplantae; Streptophyta; Magnoliopsida; Rosales; Rosaceae
Description: long non-coding RNA (PPER_LNC006962)
Source: RNAcentral